UGGCCUAAGGACUAUAACUUUGUAGCCAAAUAACUCCCGUUUAUAAAAGCCAAUCCAUUUCUAAUAUUUUGUGUAAUAGCACCAUUAGCAAACCAGAACACCUGGCUUCUGGAAGUGCCCAAAAUAAAACACCUUCUGUGCAGUACUUUCACUGUGCAGCACUUUCACUGUGCUCUCAAAUCCUCUGUGAAAUCUCUCACCACACUCUAUUUUCAUCCUUUAUUCAUUUGUACUAAUCUUUUUUUUUAAUUGUUGGAGACCAGACUUUACUGUGGUAAUUAAAAUAACUUUGUAGUAUAUCAUGAUGUUGAUUAAAACACUAAUAAAUUUUUCCCUUCUUUUACGAGUUUAAAGUCUCAGAAAAAAAUCUCUCAGGCAACUGGGAAUGAGCUCCUGGGAUCAUAUCUGCCUCCAGCAACAGCCAGUUGUCAGCUCUACUUCUUGUGCUCAGUGCUUUGUUCCACAGUCUUGAUUCUUUUGGAUGCUGGCCUUAAAGAUUGCGGUGACACAGCCACAAGUCAAGGAAGGCUGGCAGUAAUGGAGGCUGGAGAUGGCAAGGAAUGCAUUCUCCCCUACAGCCUUAGUUUCAGCCUAGUGAUAGUUCUUUUGGACUUCCGGCCACUGGAACUAUGAACAAAUAAAUUUUGUUUUAAGCCACAAUAUUUGUGAUAAUUUGUUGAGGAAGCCACAGGAAAUUAAUACCUUUCCCUUACAAAGGUGUGAUCUUAGGAAACAUCUUUAAACUCAAGCCUCAGUAUUUUAACCUAUUAAAUGGUUCUUUACCUUGCAGUGUGUUUGAAGAUUGAAUGACAAUACUUGCAAAGUCUUUAGCUGUAUGCCUGGCAUAACCAGAAUGCUCAAUAAACAAUAUUUUUUAUAUUUUAA
Molecule: long non-coding RNA, 885 nt
Organism: Choloepus didactylus (southern two-toed sloth)
Lineage: Eukaryota; Metazoa; Chordata; Mammalia; Pilosa; Megalonychidae
Exons: 2
Source: RefSeq, a predicted model, not a curated record